GCUUGUCUCAAAGAUUAAGCCAUGCAUGUCUAAGUAUAAACAACUUUAUACUGUAAAACUGCGAACGGCUCAUUAUAUCAGCAAUAAUUUAUUUGAUGGUUUCUUACCCCAUGGAUAACUGUGGUAAUUCUAGAGCUAAUACAUGCGUAAAGUCCCGACUCUUUCUGGGGAGGGAUGUAUUUAUUAGAUAAAAAACCAAUGCGGGUUCUGCCCGGUUUUGUGUUGAAUCAUAGUAACUUUUCGAAUCGCAUGGCUUCACGCCGGCGAUAGUUCAUUCAAAUUUCUGCCCUAUCAGCUUUCGACGGUAGUGUAGUGGACUACCGUGGCGUUAACGGGUAACGGAGAAUUAGGGUUCGAUUCCGGAGAGGGAGCCUGAGAAACGGCUACCACAUCUAAGGAAGGCAGCAGG
Molecule: ribosomal RNA, 409 nt
Filed under: uncultured Cryomonadida
Lineage: Eukaryota; Cercozoa; Thecofilosea
Description: partial small subunit ribosomal RNA
Rfam family: Eukaryotic small subunit ribosomal RNA
Source: RNAcentral